GAUGAAUGCUGGCGGCGUGCCUAACACAUGCAAGUCGAGCGGUAACAGGUCUAGUUUACUAGAUGCUGACGAGCGGCGGACGGCUGAGCAACGCGUAGGAACGUGCCCCAAAGUGAGGAAUAACUGCCCGAAAGGGUAGCUAAUGCCGCAUAUGAUCUUCGGAUUAAAGUCUUCGGACGCUUUGGGAGCGGCCUGCGUUAGAUUAGGUAGUUGGUAGGGUAAUGGCCUACCAAGCCGACGAUCUAUAGCUGGUCUGAGAGGAUGAUCAGCCAGACUGGGACGUGAGACACGGCCCAGACUCCUACGGGAGGCAGCAGUGAGGAAUCUUCCACAAUGGGCGAAAGCCUGAUGGAGCAACGCCGCGUGCAGGAUGAA
Molecule: ribosomal RNA, 375 nt
Filed under: uncultured bacterium
Lineage: Bacteria
Description: bacterial SSU rRNA
Rfam family: Bacterial small subunit ribosomal RNA
Source: RNAcentral